RNAcentral lists this long non-coding RNA (746 nucleotides) under Sus scrofa (pig). RNAcentral's name for it is "lncRNA (ENSSSCG00070000114.1)". Lineage: Eukaryota; Metazoa; Chordata; Mammalia; Artiodactyla; Suidae. The record is from RNAcentral.
GCACACUGACAGCAGAGUUUUGAAGAGGUAGGAGCCAAAGGGAUCCCCUGGCCCACAGGCCCUGUCAAAUCAUGGGUGGAAUGUGGAAAAGGGAAAGGAAUAUGAGACCUGCACCUUCCUUUCCCAUUGUGGGUGUGCUACAAUUUGAAGGAAGCCAAUCACUUAUCCAUCUAAUUUAUGGAAGAUCUUGAUGUGAAGGGCUCUUUGUAGAUCCCAUCAGAGCUACCCAGGUAAAUGAGCAAUGACUGAUUCAAUUAACUGAUAAGAAUCUAUUACCACUGAUCCAAACUAUCUUAUUUGAACACAGAGCAUUAUGUACCAGUAACUAUCAGAGUGGCUGUCAUUUCCUUUUGAUGAAAUAGAAGAGCCUGUGUGUGUUGCAGCCCAGAAGGUGGCGCCAUACACAUUCAAGGGAUAAUUGAUUUUUAAGUGCCAGUGCACACUGCGGAUAGCAUUUCGUGAGAAAUUCCUCUAACUGGAUAGUUUGGAGAGCAGAAUCUACCCUUUUUGUGUCCAACAAGCCUUCCCCUUUGAGAAAGUCAAGGCAUUCACCCUCUACGUGUUUUCUUCCACUGUCAAGUUCGGUGGGAGAUUAGUGGGCAUGUGAGUUGGAGGACUUUGAAAUCCUGGCUUUGCCAUUCACAGACUGUAUGGCCCUGAAAAACCUUGGUUUUUCUCAAUAUGAUUUAGGAUUAAUAAGAACUCUGUCAUGAGGCUCUAAGGAUUAAAUGAAAUAAUGUAUGCUA